RNAcentral lists this ribosomal RNA (440 nucleotides) under uncultured bacterium. RNAcentral's name for it is "bacterial SSU rRNA". It matches the Rfam family "Bacterial small subunit ribosomal RNA", at positions 339 to 796 of the family's 1533-position model. The record is from RNAcentral.
CUACGGGAGGCAGCAGUAGGGAAUCUUGCGCAAUGGGCGAAAGCCUGAUCCAGCCAUGCCGCGUGGGUGAAGAAGGCCCUAGGGUUGUAAAUCCCUUUCAGCGGGGAAGAUAAUGACGGUACCCGCAGAAGAAGCCCCGGCUAACUCCGUGCCAGCAGCCGCGGUAAUACGGAGGGGGCUAGCGUUGUUCGGAAUUACUGGGCGUAAAGCGCACGUAGGCGGGCUGUUAAGUCAGUGGUGAAAUCCCGGGGCUCAACCUCGGAAUUGCCUUUGAUACUGGCAGCCUUGAGUCCGGAAGAGGUGAGUGGAAUUCCGAGUGUAGAGGUGAAAUUCGUAGAUAUUCGGAGGAACACCAGUGGCGAAGGCGGCUCACUGGUCCGGUACUGACGCUGAGGUGCGAAAGCGUGGGGAGCAAACAGGAUUAGAAACCCCUGUAGUCC